RNAcentral lists this ribosomal RNA (208 nucleotides) under uncultured bacterium. RNAcentral's name for it is "partial 16S ribosomal RNA". It matches the Rfam family "Bacterial small subunit ribosomal RNA", at positions 568 to 774 of the family's 1533-position model. The record is from RNAcentral.
CGCGUAGGCGGUGCCGUAAGUCGGACGUGAAAUCCCUCGGCUCAACCGAGGAACUGCAUCCGAAACUGCGGUGCUUGAGUUUGGUAGGGGGGAGUGGAAUUCCUGGUGGAGCGGUGAAAUGCGUAGAUAUCAGGAGGAACGCCGGUGGCGAAGGCGACUCCCUGGACCACAACUGACGCUGAGUGCGCGAAAGCUAGGGGAGCAAACA